This 253-nucleotide ribosomal RNA is filed under the name uncultured bacterium. RNAcentral's name for it is "partial 16S ribosomal RNA". It matches the Rfam family "Bacterial small subunit ribosomal RNA", at positions 524 to 776 of the family's 1533-position model. The record is from RNAcentral.
UACGGGGGGGGUAAGCGUUGUUCGGAAUUACUGGGCGUAAAGGGCUCGUAGGCGGCCAACUAAGUCAUACGUGAAAUCCCUCAGCUUAACUGGGGAACUGCGUCUGAAACUGGUUGGCUUGAGUGCAGGAGAGGAAUGCGGAAUUCCAGGCGUAGCGGUGAAAUGCGUAGAUAUCUGGAGGAACACCGGUGGCGAAGGCGGCAUUCUGGACUGUAACUGACACUGAGGAACGAAAGCCAGGGGAGCAAACGGG